GACGAACGCUGGCGGCGUGCUUAACACAUGCAAGUCGAACGGGCCUGCCUGGCUUUGGUUGGGUGGGUGAGUGGCGAACGGGUGAGUAACACGUGAGUAACCUGCCCUCUUCUCUUGGAUAACUGCUUGAAAGGGCGGCUAAUACGGGAUGUUCUGGCUGCCUCGCAUGGGGUGGUUUGGAAAGAUUCGGCCUGGUUUUGGUUGUUUUGGUGGGGGAUGGGCUCGCGGCUUAUCAGCUUGUUGGUGGGGUGAUGGCCUACCAAGGCGGUGACGGGUAGCCGGCCUGAGAGGGUGGACGGUCACACUGGGACUGAGACACGGCCCAGACUCCUCGGGAGGCAGCAGUGGGGGAUUUUGCACAAUGGGCGCAAGCCUGAUGCAGCGACGCCGCGUGGGGGAUGGAGGCCUUCGGGUUGUGAACCUCUGUCGCCGGUGAUGUAGGCUCUGCUUUGUGGGUGGG
This 460-nucleotide ribosomal RNA is filed under the name Actinomyces sp. oral taxon 448. RNAcentral's name for it is "bacterial SSU rRNA". It matches the Rfam family "Bacterial small subunit ribosomal RNA", at positions 28 to 471 of the family's 1533-position model. Lineage: Bacteria; Bacillati; Actinomycetota; Actinomycetes; Actinomycetales; Actinomycetaceae. The record is from RNAcentral.